This 1543-nucleotide ribosomal RNA is filed under the name human gut metagenome. Its description in RNAcentral is "bacterial LSU rRNA". It matches the Rfam family "Bacterial large subunit ribosomal RNA", at positions 588 to 2111 of the family's 2925-position model. The record is from RNAcentral.
CAGGUGCGACGGCGUGCCUAUUGAAGAAUGAACCGGCGAGUUAUUUUUUUCGGCGAGGUUAAGCGGCAGACGCGGAGCCGAAGCGAAAGCGAGUCUGAAUAGGGCGAGGAGUUAGUGGUAGUAGACCCGAAACCGUAGUGAUCUAUCCAUGGCCAGGUUGAAGCACAGGUAAAAUUGUGUGGAGGACCGAACUCGUGAGCGUUGAAAAGCUUUGGGAUGAGUUGUGGAUAGGGGUGAAAUGCCAAUCGAACACGGAGAUAGCUGGUUCUCCCCGAAAUAGCUUUAGGGCUAGCCUCGAGGUUGAGAGUAUAGGCGGUAGAGCACUGAUCGGGCUAGGGGCCAUACCGGUUACCGAACCUAGUCAAACUACGAAUGGCUAUACUUAUACUCGGGAGUCAGACAGUGAAUGAUAAGGUCCAUUGUCAAGAGGGAAACAGCCCAGAACACCGACUAAGGUCCCAAAUGUUACACUAAGUGGCGAAGGAUGUGGAAUUUCCAAAACAACCAGGAUGUUGGCUUAGAAGCAGCCACCAUUUAAAGAGUGCGUAAUAGCUCACUGGUCGAGAGACUCUGCGCCGAAAAUGUCCGGGGCUAAAGUGUAAAACCGAAGUCGUGUCAUAUGCAGCAAUGUAUAUGGGUAGGGGAGCGUUCUCAUCGGAUUGAAGCAGUACCGUAAGGAGUUGUGGACUGAUGAGAAGUGAGAAUGUCGGUAUGAGUAGCGAAAAGAAUGGUGAGAAUCCAUUCCACCGAAAGCCUAAGGGUUCCUGAGCAACGAUCGUCGUCUCAGGGUAAGUCGGGACCUAAGCCGAGGCGGAAAAGCGUAGGCGAUGGACAACAGGUUGAAAUUCCUGUACCGGUGUGAAUCGUUUGAUCGAUGGAGUGACACAGUAAGGUAGGUCAGCACGCGAUUGGAAGUGCGUGUUUAAGCAUGUAGGUUGAGCUAUAGGCAAAUCCGUAGCUCUAAAAGCUGAGAUGUGAUGACGAGUUACUAGCGAUAGUAACGAAGUGAUUGAUCCUACACUGUCGAGAAAAGCUUCUAGGUAGAGACACAUCGCCCGUACCAAAACCGACACAGGUAGGCGGGGAGAGAAUCCUAAGGUGCGCGGGAAAACCCUCGUUAAGGAACUCGGCAAAAUGCCUCCGUAACUUCGGGAAAAGGAGGACUCAUGUAGUGUGAAGGGCAGUAACGCGUGGAGCAUGAAUGAGUGGCACAAGAGAGGCGCAAGCGACUGUUUACCACAAACACAGGUGCCUGCUAAAGCGAAAGCUGAUGUAUAGGUGCUGACACCUGCCCGGUGCUGGAAGGUUAAGAGGAGGGGUUAGACUUCGGUCGAAGCUCUGAAUUGAAGCCCCAGUAAACGGCGGCCGUAACUAUAACGGUCCUAAGGUAGCGAAAUUCCUUGUCGGGUAAGUUCCGACCCGCACGAAAGGUGUAACGACUUGCGCACUGUCUCAACGAGGGACCCGGUGAAAUUGAAGUACCUGUGAAGAUGCAGGUUACCCGCGACUGGACAGAAAGACCCCAUGGAGCUUUACUGCAACC